GAUAGAAAGUUACUUCGGUACAUCGGUGACAGGUGGUGCAUGGUUGUCGUCAGCUCGUGUCGUGAGAUGUUGGGUUAAGUCCCGCAACGAGCGCAACCCCUAUUGUUAGUUGCCAUCAUUCAGUUGGGCACUCUAGCGAGACUGCCGGUAAUAAACCGGAGGAAGUGGGGAUGACGUCAAAUCAUCAUGCCCCUUAUGACCUGGGCUACACACGUGCUACAAUGGUUGGUACAACGAGUUGCGAGUCGGUGACGGCGAGCUAAUCUCUUAAAGCCAAUCUCAGUUCGGAUUGUAGGCUGCAACUCGCCUACAUGAAGUCGGAAUCGCUAGUAAUCGCGGAUCAGCACGCCGCGGUGAAUACGUUCCCGGGCCUU
This 374-nucleotide ribosomal RNA is filed under the name uncultured Streptococcus sp. Its description in RNAcentral is "bacterial SSU rRNA". It matches the Rfam family "Bacterial small subunit ribosomal RNA", at positions 1005 to 1382 of the family's 1533-position model. The record is from RNAcentral. Lineage: Bacteria; Bacillati; Bacillota; Bacilli; Lactobacillales; Streptococcaceae.